Small nucleolar RNA from Hevea brasiliensis (rubber tree), 103 nucleotides. RefSeq annotates it as small nucleolar RNA R30/Z108. The record is from RefSeq and is a predicted model, not a curated record. The transcript has a single exon. Lineage: Eukaryota; Viridiplantae; Streptophyta; Magnoliopsida; Malpighiales; Euphorbiaceae.
GGAUGUUGCUAUGAGGAUUCACAGCUCCCUCUUCUGAAUAUAUCACUUGAAGAUAUUAGCUGGCAGAAUCGAACCCAUGACUUUUUAUGCCACUACUGAGUAA